CGCUAGCGGCAGGCUUAAUACAUGCAAGUCGUGGGGCAGCACAGGUAGCAAUACUGGGUGGCGACCGGCAAACGGGUGCGGAACACGUACGCAACCUUCCUUUAAGCGGGGAAUAGCCCAGGGAAACUUGGAUUAAUACCCCAUAAGACAGUGGACUGGCAUCAGUCAGCUGUUAAAGCUCCGGCACUUAAAGAUGGGCGUGCGGCUGAUUAGGUAGUUGGCGGGGUAAAGGCCCACCAAGCCGACGAUCAGUAACUGGUGUGAGAGCACGACCAGUCACACGGGCACUGAGACACGGGCCCGACUCCUACGGGAGGCAGCAGUAAGGAAUAUUGGUCAAUGGACGCAAGUCUGAACCAGCCAUGCCGCGUGGAGGAUGAAGGCCCUCUGGGUUGUAAACUUCUUUUAUUGGGGAAGAAACCGGACUUUUCUAAGACCGUUGACGGUACCCAUUGAAUAAGCACCGGCUAACUCCGUGCCAGCAGCCGCGGUAAUACGGAGGGUGCAAGCGUUAUCCGGAUUCACUGGGUUUAAAGGGUGCGUAGGUGGGCAGGUAAGUCAGUGGUGAAAUCUCCAAGCUUAACUUGGAAACUGCCGUUGAUACUAUCUGUCUUGAAUGUAGUGGAGGUGAGCGGAAUAUGUCAUGUAGCGGUGAAAUGCUUAGAUAUGACAUAGAACAUCGAUUGCGAAGGCAGCUCGCUACACUAUUAUUGACACUGAGGCACGAA
Molecule: ribosomal RNA, 728 nt
Filed under: uncultured bacterium
Lineage: Bacteria
Description: bacterial SSU rRNA
Rfam family: Bacterial small subunit ribosomal RNA
Source: RNAcentral